RNAcentral lists this unclassified non-coding RNA (376 nucleotides) under soil metagenome. Its description in RNAcentral is "partial contains 5.8S ribosomal RNA, internal transcribed spacer 2, and large subunit ribosomal RNA". The stretch from base 1 to 120 matches the Rfam family "5.8S ribosomal RNA", at positions 35 to 154 of the family's 154-position model. The record is from RNAcentral.
GAUGAAGAACGCAGUGAAAUGCGAUAAGUAAUGUGAAUUGCAGAAUUCAGUGAAUCAUCGAAUCUUUGAACGCAUCUUGCGCUCCUUGGUAUUCUGAGGAGCAUGCCUGUUUGAGGGUCAUUAAAUUCUCAACUACACUGACUUUGAAUUGGUGUGGCUUGGAUUUGGGGGGAAAAUUGUUGUGGGCUUUUUGUAUAGUCUGCUCCCCUGAAAUUGAUUAGCGGUACCUUUGUGGAACUGUCUACAGGUGUGAUAAUUAUCUACAUCUUAGACAUCUGCUGGAAUGCUGCUCUCUAAACCUUACUUGUAUUGACAAUCUUGACCUCAAAUCAGGUAGGACUACCCGCUGAACUUAAGCAUAUCAAUAAGCGGAGGA